This 101-nucleotide transfer RNA is filed under the name Aspergillus niger. Its description in RNAcentral is "tRNA-Val". RNAcentral also lists the same sequence under 3 other names. Lineage: Eukaryota; Fungi; Ascomycota; Eurotiomycetes; Eurotiales; Aspergillaceae. The record is from RNAcentral.
AGUCACGUGGUCUAAUGGUUAUGAUUUCUCGUUCACAUCAAGUGAGUUUCUCCUCUACUGAGGCGCCGAGAAGGUUCCCGGUUCGAUCCCGGGCGUGACUA